RNAcentral lists this ribosomal RNA (522 nucleotides) under Bacillus sp. (in: firmicutes). Its description in RNAcentral is "bacterial SSU rRNA". It matches the Rfam family "Bacterial small subunit ribosomal RNA", at positions 10 to 515 of the family's 1533-position model. Lineage: Bacteria; Bacillati; Bacillota; Bacilli; Caryophanales; Bacillaceae. The record is from RNAcentral.
AGUUUGAUCAUGGCUCAGGACGAACGCUGGCGGCGUGCCUAAUACAUGCAAGUCGAGCGGACAGAUGGGAGCUUGCUCCCUGAUGUUAGCGGCGGACGGGUGAGUAACACGUGGGUAACCUGCCUGUAAGACUGGGAUAACUCCGGGAAACCGGGGCUAAUACCGGAUGGUUGUCUGAACCGCAUGGUUCAGACAUAAAAGGUGGCUUCGGCUACCACUUACAGAUGGACCCGCGGCGCAUUAGCUAGUUGGUGAGGUAACGGCUCACCAAGGCGACGAUGCGUAGCCGACCUGAGAGGGUGAUCGGCCACACUGGGACUGAGACACGGCCCAGACUCCUACGGGAGGCAGCAGUAGGGAAUCUUCCGCAAUGGACGAAAGUCUGACGGAGCAACGCCGCGUGAGUGAUGAAGGUUUUCGGAUCGUAAAGCUCUGUUGUUAGGGAAGAACAAGUGCCGUCAAAUAGGGCGGCACCUUGACGGUACCUAACCAGAAAGCCACGGCUAACUACGUGCCAGCAGC